AUAAAUACUGAUACGGGGCUCUUUUGGGUCUCGUAAUUGGAAUGAGUACAAUCUAAAUCCCUUAACGAGGAACAAUUGGAGGGCAAGUCUGGUGCCAGCAGCCGCGGUAAUUCCAGCUCCAAUAGCGUAUAUUAAAGUUGUUGCAGUUAAAAAGCUCGUAGUUGAACCUUGGGUCUGGCUGGCCGGUCCGCCUCACCGCGAGUACUGGUCCGGCUGGACCUUUCCUUCUGGGGAAUCUCAUGGCCUUCACUGGCUGUGGGGGGAACCAGGACUUUUACUGUGAAAAAAUUAGAGUGUUCAAAGCAGGCCUUUGCUCGAAUACAUUAGCAUGGAAUAAUAGAAUAGGACGUGCGGUUCUAUUUUGUUGGUUUCUAGGACCGCCGUAAUGAUUAAUAGGGAUAGUCGGGGGCGUCAGUAUUCAGCUGUCAAAGGUGAAAUUCUUGGAUUUGCUGAAGACUAACUACUGCGAAAGCAUUCGCCAAGGAUGUUUUCAUUAAUCAGGGAACGAAAGUUAGGGGAUCGAAAACGAUCAGAUACCGUCGUAGUCUUAACCAUAAACUAUGCCGACUAGGGAUCGGACGGUGUUUCUAUUAUGACCCGUUCGGCACCUUACGAGAAAUCAAAGUUUUUGGGUUCUGGGGGGAGUAUGGUCGCAAGGCUGAAACUUAAAGAAAUUGACGGAAGGGCACCACCAG
RNAcentral lists this ribosomal RNA (695 nucleotides) under Aspergillus niger. Its description in RNAcentral is "SSU rRNA". It matches the Rfam family "Eukaryotic small subunit ribosomal RNA", at positions 473 to 1173 of the family's 1831-position model. Lineage: Eukaryota; Fungi; Ascomycota; Eurotiomycetes; Eurotiales; Aspergillaceae. The record is from RNAcentral.